UGAAGAAGAUGGAAAGUGAAU
RNAcentral lists this non-coding RNA (21 nucleotides) under Caenorhabditis elegans. The record is from RNAcentral. Lineage: Eukaryota; Metazoa; Nematoda; Chromadorea; Rhabditida; Rhabditidae.